Long non-coding RNA from Triplophysa rosa, 2290 nucleotides. RefSeq lists it as uncharacterized. The record is from RefSeq and is a predicted model, not a curated record. The transcript has 3 exons. Lineage: Eukaryota; Metazoa; Chordata; Actinopteri; Cypriniformes; Nemacheilidae.
UGGGAUUUCACACAUUUUUAUUUUUGAGGGUGGCAUUGAACUAAUUUUAACACAAUUAAGUAAUUGUUGUUGACUUAAACUUUAUUAAGUUCUCAUUUGUAACACAAAUUACUGCAUUUUGCUUGGUGACCAGUAAGUGAAUGUGAACCUGCCAGUUGACGUCGUUGUCUUUGCAUAUGGCACAGAGAGGACGUAACGAGUUCGCACCUGCUGUACUCAAUGAAACGUGUUCAACUAUAAGCAGCUUCAAUUAGCGGAGAAGCUACGGAGGACCGCUGCUGUGUGUCUUUUUCAUGCAUUUGUCGACGUUGUUGUCUUGCAUACGAGGAUUUCCACCUGACAUCCUACAUGACCUGUUUGAAGGUGUGGUUCCUGUGGAGUUGGCGCAUUGUUUGAAAGGUCUCCCCAACACUUUGUAAAUGGAAACGACUGAUGUCCUGAAAUUAAGGGUCAUCCUCGAUGACGUCAAUGCAGAGAGGCUUAUUUUGCCCUCUCGUCCUGAGACUGUAAAUGCCCUCAUAUUUGAGGUGAAAAAUAAUUUGAAUCUGGACUAUGACUUUCGCCUUCAGUUUCAAUACCCGGAGUUUGACAAUGCCCUGUGUAAUUUAGUUAACAUGGAGGACCUGCUAUCCAAGGCAACAAUUAAGAUGGUUCGAUCUGUUGAGUCAGAUCUGAGUUCGACCAGCACAGAUGACACAGUGUUGAUGUCUGAUAACACUGAUUCACCAGAGCGUCUUUGCCGAUGGCCAGAGAUCUUUGUUGUUCCAACAUUCUCCUACGAGGUGGAGUAUGCGCUAAGAGAGGGCAACUCUGCAUUUGUGAAAAAGGGAAAAACUGUCAGGUUGACCAGGGAUCAAAAACACAACAUACUAGAUGUGAUGGCUGGUGAAAUAUAUAAGCAUAAAGCUUAUCCUAGCACCAAACAGAUUAGCAAGGCUGCUGAGGCUCUGGUUAGCAAACACCCCUGCCUGAAAGAAAACUGAUCCGGAACCGGGUAUGAGGGUUGGAAGAACAGCCUGUGCUUCAAGAUGGGCAACUACAGGACCAUACUGAGCAGAGCUGGCAUAAAGGAUGUAGCUGUGAAUGCAGGAAAGUUAUAGUUAUAGUAUAAAGUUAUGUUGUUAUAGGUCAGCAUGUUUUGUUUUAGCUUGCAAGCCUAAAAUAGUUAAACAAGUGAGAAACUUCGGGGCAUUUUACGCUGAUAAUAAUUUGCGUACAGUGAACUAAUGACCCCUCAGUUCUUUUCAAUUUUGAUUUUGUCUUUAAACAGAUACUGUGCAUCACUGAACAAGGAUUGUUGAUUCUAGUUCUAUUCUAGUUAGUUUGAUUGCAUAGUUUUUUCUACAAUAUGUUUGUGUAUUAUGUGAGUUAUUCACACUUUCCGCAUGUUUCAUUGUACACAUAAAUGUGAAUGAUAUUUAUUCACCAGCUUCAUUUUGUAACAUUAUGGACACUGUUACUCAGGGGUGCACAAAGGUAUCAAAACAUAAAAUUGAACAAAGUGUUCUAAAUCAGGUAAUUAGAGUAAAUAGAUGUGCCUUAACUGUUGGGUAUGAAUACAAUAACCUGCUGCUUGCAGGAGAGGGGAAAAUUUUGGGGUAGAGGCAGUGUAAUAAUAAUAGAGCAUAAUAUCAAUGUUGAAGGCCACAGCAAGCUCAACUAUAUGCUUUAUUAGUUUUGCAUUGCCUCCUUCCCCAAAUUGUUCCCCUCUCCUGCAAGGUGCAUCUGAUCCAUGAAGGCUUUCUAGUAUCGCUGGCAUCAUUAUUGUAGUUAAAUCAGCAAAUAAAGCAGCUAUUAAAAUUUACAUGAUAGUUUAUAUGGUACCACACAAAUUGCACAUGUAUAUGGGAAAUUUGGUAGACUUUUUUUGGACCUUGAACCAGCAGUUAACUUUACAAUACAAUGGACUAUGCAGAAUUAUUUUAUUGUAGUGUGACGGAGCCCACAGAUCAUAGUCCUCAGUGUCCAAAAUAUUAACAAAAGAAGCCGAUGAGUGAAAUGGAUGAAAAAAAGAUUUAUUUGUUGAUGAUUUGAGUGACUUAUUUAAGGUUAAAUAAAUAUAAAAGUAAGUGUAGAUUAGUACAGUUUGUUCCUGGAGUUGUACACAUUGAAAUGUUGUGUAUUCAGUUGAGAGGAUUCAACUAAAUAAAUCGUUUAAGUAUUGUCAGAUGUGUGUUUGUUUGUAAUGAGUUAAUACAACUUAAAUGGUUUAAGGCAAUCGGUUUCCUCAAAUGAAGUAAGUAGCCACAACAAAGUUUGAAGUUGUCAGAACUAGAAUGUAAUAAUUUGA